AGAGUUUGAUCCUGGCUCAGGAUAAACGCUGGCGGCGUGCCUAAUACAUGCAAGUCGAUCGAUAGAAGUCCAGCUUGCUGGACGGAAAUAGAGGCGAACGGGUGAGUAAUACGUAAGCAACCUGCCCACGAAGACCGGGAUAAUCCCUGGAAACGGGGACUAAGACCGGAUAGGUACACAGAUCGCAUGAUCAGUGUAUUAAAGGAGAGAGACACUGGUGGAUGGGCUUACGGUGCAUUAGCUGGAUGGUGAGGUAACGGCCCACCAUGGCGAUGAUGCAUAGCCGGGCUGAGAGGCUGAACGGCCACAUUGGGACUGAGACACGGCCCAGACUCCUACGGGAGGCAGCAGUAGGGAAUUUUCGGCAAUGGGGGCAACCCUGACCGAGCAACGCCGCGUGAGUGAUGAAGGUCUUCGGAUUGUAAAGCUCUGUUGUAAGGGAAGAACGGCAUCUAGAGAAUAGGUGAGUGACGGUACCUUACCAGAAAGCUACGGCUAACUACGUGCCAGCAGCCGCGGUAAUACGUAGGUAGCGAGCGUUAUCCGGAAUUAUUGGGCGUAAAGGGUGCGUAGGCGGCCUGUUAAGUUUAUGGUGAAAGCGUGGGGCUCAACCCCAUAAAGCCAUAGAUACUGGCAGGCUAGAGUACUGGAGAGGGUAGUGGAAUUCCAUGUGUAGCGGUGAAAUGCGUAGAUAUAUGGAGGAACACCGGUGGCGAAGGCGGCCUACUGGACAGAGACUGACGCUGAGGCACGAAAGCGUGGGGAGCAAAUAGGAUUAGAUACCCUAGUAGUCCACGCCGUAAACGAUGAAUGCUAGGUAUCGGGGCGACCCGGUGCCGAAACUAACGCGAUAAGCAUUCCGCCUGUGGAGUAUGCACGCAAGUGUGAAACAUAAAGGAAUUGACGGGGGCCCGCACAAGCGGUGGAGUAUGUGGUUUAAUUCGACGCAACGCGAAGAACCUUACCAGGCCUUGACAUCCCUUGCAAAAUCCUGGAGACAGGAGGGAGGCUAUCAAGGAGACAGGUGGUGCAUGGUUGUCGUCAGCUCGU
Molecule: ribosomal RNA, 1050 nt
Filed under: human gut metagenome
Description: bacterial SSU rRNA
Rfam family: Bacterial small subunit ribosomal RNA
Source: RNAcentral